Molecule: ribosomal RNA, 484 nt
Filed under: uncultured bacterium
Lineage: Bacteria
Description: partial 16S ribosomal RNA
Rfam family: Bacterial small subunit ribosomal RNA
Source: RNAcentral
AUUGAACGCUGGGGGAAGCCUUAACACUUCCAGUUGGAACGGAGCACGGGGGCCGGCCUGGUGGCGAGUGGCCGAAGGGGGGAUUAUUACUUGGAACGUGGCCGGUUGGGGGGGGUAAACUAGCGAAAGUUGCGCCAAUUACGCCAAAGAUCCGGGGGUGGAAGGGGGGGAACCUCCGGCCCUGCGCGAUCCGGGCGGCCGGAGGUCAGAUUAGGUAGUUGGUGGGGUAAAGGCCUACCAAGCCGACGAUCUGUAGCUGGUCUGAGAGGACGACCAGCCACACUGGGACUGAGACACGGCCCAGACUCCUACGGGAGGCAGCAGUGGGGAAUUUUGGACAAUGGGCGCAAGCCUGAUCCAGCCAUUCCGCGUGCAGGACGAAGGCCUUCGGGUUGUAAACUGCUUUUGUACGGAACGAAAAGGCUCUGGCUAAUACCUGGGGCUCAUGACGGUACCGUAAGAAUAAGCACCGGCUAACUACGUG